UUCAUCCACCUUCAAUCGUCGAAUUACUUUAGCCUUAUGCAAACAUGUUUUAUGAGUUAGUGUUAGGUUUAUGUUUGUUCUGGAAAUGAAACGGCAUACAGAAGUACCUUUACAAUGGAAACCACUAGCUAGCUCUGCCCACCAUGUUUUCAAUGACUGAAGCUAGGUGCUAGCUAGAGUUUGCCUUUGUAAAUCAGCUAUGUUGUCAGCCUGAGGAAGAUUUACAACGUGCAUUUAACAUGGACUUCCUCUGGAUGGUGGCAGAUUGACAACUUCACAUCAGUGAACAUGAAUCUCAUAACUGAUUGGAAAAAUAAAUAAAGUUUUGCACACAA
Engraulis encrasicolus (European anchovy) is the source of this 335-nucleotide long non-coding RNA. RefSeq lists it as uncharacterized. The record is from RefSeq and is a predicted model, not a curated record. The transcript is spliced from 2 exons. Lineage: Eukaryota; Metazoa; Chordata; Actinopteri; Clupeiformes; Engraulidae.